CCUAGAACCUCAGAAUGUGAUCUUAUUUGGAGACAAGGUCUUUACAGAGUUGAUCAAGUCAUUAUGAAGUCAUUAGAACAGGCCCUAAUGCAAUGGCACUGUUUUUCUUUCUUUUUUGUCAGUGGGGACAGGGUCUCACUCUGUUGCCCAGGCUGGAGUAUAGCGGCACAAUCUCGGGUCACUGCAGCCUUCAGCUCCUGGGCUCAAGCAAUCUUCCUACCUCAGCCUCCUGAGUAGCUAGGACUACAGGUGCGCCCCACCAUGCCUGGUUAAUUUUUGUAAAGAUGGGGUUUUGCCAUGUUUACAGGUGCGCACCAUCAUGCCUGGUUAAUUUUUGUAAAGAUGGGGUUUUGCCAUGUCUCUUGAACUCCUGGGCUCCAGUGAUCCACCUACCUCAGGCUCUGCAAGUGCUGGGACUACAGGCAUGGGCCAAUGCGUCCAGACUGGUGUUCUUAUAAACAAGGAAAAUUGGGACACAGAGACACACACAAAGAGACAAAGAUGUGAGAUACAGGAAGAAUGUGAAGAUGGUCAUCUAUAAACCAAAGAAGGGCCUGGGACAGACCCUACCCUCUCUGUCCUCACAGGAAACCAACCCUGCCCACACCUUGAUCUUGAACUUCUAGCUUCCAGAACUGCGAGAAAAUAAAUAUCUACUGUUUAAGCCAUCCAGUUUGUGGUACUUGAUUACAACAACCCUAGCAAAGGAGCACAAAGGGCAAGCAAUUUGGUCGUGCUGGAAUAACACUCUCUGGGUGUUGGUUUACCUUUUCUGCCUGCAAAGUCUAUCAGCCAGCAUUACUGUCUGGGAUCUCAUGGAGUGCCUGAUUCACAGGCAUGGAUCCCACACAACACAGCAUCUGACCAGGAGGUGACAUCACAACAAAGCUCCAGGAGUCACCUGGCCCUAUCACACAUGCACCACCCAGAAGUAAUCAGCCUGAAAGAACAUCAGGACUGCUUCCUGGAGAAACAGCUGACUUACCGGUUCAGAGGCAACACUCUGCAAAGAUGGGUGCCAUCUUCCAAGAUGCUGUAUGCAUCUUUUUUUUUUUUUUUGAGACGGAGUUUCACUGUUGUUACCCAGACUGGAAUGCAAUGGCACGAUCUCGGCUCACCGCAACCUCCGCCUUCUGGGUUCAAGCAAUUCUCCUGUCUCAGCCUCCCGAGUAGCUGGGACUACAGGCGCGCGCCACCAUGCCCAGCUAAUUUUUGUGUUUUUAGUAGAGAUGGGGUUUCACCUCGUUGACCAGGAUGGUCUUGAUCUCUUGACCUCGUGAUCCACCUGCCUUGGCUUCCCAGAGUGCUGGGAUUAUAGACGUGAGCCACCGCGCCCGGCCGCUGUAUGCAUCUUGACUCACAGACCUGUUUACUGGGUAUUGUCUCUAACAGGAAGAAUAUAUGGGUCCUGGAACAAUGGUCCCAUCCAAGGGAUUCCAUUCUUGCCAGGAAACGCUGCUAGAGUCCCAUUGAACUUUAAAUUAUUGCUACUGUCUUAGUACUUGGAUUCCUGUGUCCAGAAGCAGGCUGCAAAGAAGGUCAUCUUGGUAGGCGCAGUUGACCCUGAUUUCCAGCUCAACAAUCCAGAAUUGACAACUCAAGGUAAUUUCUUAUGGUUUAGACUAGAAUACAUUCUAAUUUUGCUUGAGCUUAUUUUUUUCCUAAAAAGUAAUGUUAAAGAUCUUUAGUGAUAAUUCCUAGCUAUGAAUGUAGUUGGAAAACAUUGCCUUCUGUAGUACGUAAGAAUAAUUGAAUGUCAGUACAUAAAACUGAACAGGAGCAAAAAUAACAGUACUUCUGGAAAUUUGACUUAAGUCAUGGAAAUUUACUUGACUUUGGGCUUGAAGUAAACAAUAUGUAAUAAGUAAUUUAAGCGGUGAACUGAAAAUUAAGGGGAAACAUGAUUUCUAUUUAGAAUAAAGAUGGUAUUUUAGUUGACAUAACUGUUUUGAGAUCAGUGGCAAAAUCUUCCUAGUUUUAAAAAAGAAAUUUCAGGUUAGAAACUCUAUUGCCUAGGAAAGCUUACAGAUGUAAGGACUUUAGUAGAGCUAGCCUCCCCACUCCAAGAACACACAGGGGCACACCUAGUUCCUAAGCAACCCACUCCCAAAUGAGGUUCACUUAUAGGAGAAAGAAUAGCUUUCCCAGUCUUCAUUUUUAGCUACCGUUAAAGUUUUAGGCGUUUUCCCCCAUCAUGUAAUGCCCGUGAGGAGGGCUUCCCCCAUAAAGGGGCAAGCAGAAAAAGCAGGGGGUUGGGGAGCAGGAUUCUAGCAGACCCUGAUAAGGACUCCUGCCUUUAGAGUAAGCCAGCUUGCGCGUUAGGACGCUGCAAGUCACAUGAAGAAGGCCAGCGAAGAGAGGCUGCUUCACACACUGUGGUUUACUACACAAGGAGAAGAAACCCACCCAAGAAAAUUCAAGGAGGUCGGCUUUCAGAGACCACCGUCCCACUCUGCCCCCCAAUCUCCUUUCCUACAAGUCUUCCUCUUAAGUCUUUAUGCCAACACUUUCCCGCUUUUCCUUCCCACAGCCUUCUUCUUUAGAAUGAAAGAAAAAAGCUUUAUACCAACACUUCCCAGCUUUCCCCUACUUUUUCACCACAACCCAUGCAAGCUCACAACCUCGCCCAGUCACAGAUCCUACCAACUGCAGGUAGCUUGGCUACCCUUCGCCAUUUUAUAGACGGCGAAGUUCCCGCCCCCCCCAGCCCCAGAGCACUCUGGGUGAGCCGCUACUCCUCUGGUUUCUCAUUGGCUCUCUCACUCUCAAUCAACAGCUCGUUCCCAGCCCCUCCAAGCAUUUCCUGGUCCACGUGACCAAUAGCGGCAAGAAGAAGUGGAGGUUUGUUGUCCGGCUGUACACAGCACAGGCCGGAAAGGUAGCUUCCCACCGCCAGCGGCUGCUGUGAUCAGAAAACGAGCUGGCUGCCUCUGGGUGAUGAUGGCUGCGUGAGUGCCUGCCAUGGCCCACCAGAAGUGUGAGACCAUGGGGAGCAGCAUGUUGGACCACAGGGUGAGGCCAGUCCCUGUCUCCCGUGGCCAGGAGCGAGGACGUGGAGCUGCCCUAGGAAGGCUGUGUGCCCGAGGGCCAGGAGCUGGCUGCCCUGUGGCCAGAGAUCCCCAUGCCCGAGGAGCAGGAGUGCCACUACCACAGCCCUGAUGGGGACUCUAGCUCCAACUACAUGAAUAACACCUCUGAGGAGGAGGACUGUGACAAAGGCCUGCCCGAGGAAGAGGGCAUCACCUACUAUAUCCAUCCUGGCAAUUGAUUUUUAUGUGGUAGUUUUUUAAAUCUUGCUACCUUGUUUAAUUUAUCUGUUAGUUCUAACAAGUAUCAUGGGGCAGAAUUUUACACAGUAGGAUACAGCAUUGGGUAGAGUUGUGAGGCUCCCAAUCCAGGCCCUAACUCCAAGACUAUAUUCCUAGACACACCCUGGGCCAAAAGGGAACCUGCUGCCUUGAAGGAAAGGCCCCAUCCUGGCAGGAUUUAUCUCCUAAGAGCCCUAGGGUCCGGAAUAACCAGUAGUGAUACCUAGGUAGUAAACUAUGGGCCUUGGGCUCUAGACAUGCUGGCUUCAGGGGUAACCCAGCAUAUUUGCAGCUGUGAUGGCUAUGGCAAAAGACCCCUGAUGUUUGAGAAAAGCAGAGGGAAAAUUAAAGGGAACUUCAUCUUGCACCUUAGGUGCCAGCCUGGCCACAAGGCGGCAGAGCAAAAGGCAGGCCCUUGGGGGUCCCUGAGUCUAGGCCUAGGCUCUUAGCAUUUCUGGACCUGCCUUGGGCCAGGGGACCCUCUUCCCAUGUGUCAGGGGAGGGACCUGGUGAAAGGGGAUUAGAUCAUGGCAGCAGAUUUCCCCCAUGCUGUUCUUAUGAUCGUGAGUGAGUUCUCAUGAGAUCUGAUAGUUUAAAAGUGUAGCACUUUUCUCAUCAUUCUCUUUCUCUCUUGCCACCAUGUAAGACGUCCCUUGCUUCCUCUUUGCUUAAGUUUCCCAUGGCCUCCCCAGGCCAUGUGGAACUGUGAGUCAAUUAAACCUCUUUUCUUUAUAAAUUACCCAGUCUCAGGUAGUUCUUCAUAGCAGUGUGAAAAUGAACUAAUACACCAGGCAGUACAUGUGUAGAAUGUACAGGUUUGUUAUAUAGGUAAACACAUGCCAUGAUGGUUUGCUGCAUCCGUCUCCCCACUACCUACAUUAGGUAUUUCUCCUAAUGUUAUCCCUCCCCAAUCCCCCACCCCCUGCUAAUUACUCCCCUAUCCCCCACCCCUUGACAGGCCCUGGUGUGUGAUGUUCCCCUCCCUGUUUCCAUCUGUUCUCAUUGUUCAACACCCACUUAUGAGUGAGAACAUGCAGUGUUUGGUUUUCUGCUCUUGAGUCAGUUUGCUGAGAAUGAUGGCUUUCAGCAUCAUCCAUGUCCCUGCAAAGGACAUGAACUUUUUUUAAAUGGCUACAUAGUAUUCCAUGGUGUAUAUGUGUUACAUUUUCUUUAUCCAGUCUAUCCUUGAUGGGCAUUUGGAUUGGUUCCAAGUCUUUGCUAUUGUAAACAGUGCUGCAAUAAACAUACAUGUGCAUGUGUCUUUAUAAUAGAAGGACUUAUAAUCCUUUUGGUAUAUACCCAGUAAUGGGAUUGCUGGGUCAAAUGGUAUUUCUAGUUUUAGGUUCUUGAGGAAUCGCCACACUGUCUUUUGCAAUGGUUGAAUUAAUUUACUCUUCCACCAACAGUGUAAAAGCGUUCCUAUUUCUCCACAUCCUCUCCAACAUCUGUUGUCUCCUGAUUUUUUUAAUGAUCACCAUUCUAACUGGCAUGAGAUAGUAUCUCAAUGUGGUUUUGAUUUGCAUUUCUCUAAUUAUCAGUGAUGAUUAGCUUUUUUUCAUAUGUUUGUUGGCUGCAUAAAUGUCUUCUUUUGAAAUGUGUUCAUAUCCUUUGGGCAAAGGAUAUGAUGAGGUUUUUUUUUUUUCUUGUAUAUUUGUUUAGAUUCUUUGUAGAUUCUGGAUAUUAGCUCUUUGUCAGAUGCGUGGAUUGCAAAUAUUUUUUUCUCAUUCUCUUGGUUGCCAGUUCACUCUAAUGAUUGUUUCUUUUGCUAUGCAGAAGCUCUUAAACUUAAUUGGAUCCUGUUGGGAAAAGCAGCAAAGGAGAAAGGGCUUACAGAGUGCCUACAUAAAUUGGUUAUGAGUAACAUGUAAAUAGGGGGCAACCAACUGCAGAAGGCCACAGAAGGCCUCUGGGGAGGAAGGCCUCUCUAUGCCUCAUGUUCUGGUACAGGGUGACGUAGGCUCUGUUACCAUAAACAUUGUGCUCAAGGACAUAAAACCCCUUUGUAGCACUAUGACGUAGCCAGACUUGUAGGUUCCUUGUAAGGCCCGAGUUCCAUCAGCUGCACAUAGGUAAUAAGUUAAAGAUAACCACAUGUUCUUGUUUUGUGAAACUCUCAAACUGCCACUGUUAUCUGUCUUUAGAAUGAUACACCAGUUCUGGCUCACUGAUUCACCCCACCAUCACCCUCUCCUACCAUCGCUUCACCUCUACCCUGUAGAUCAAAGUAAUUGUAACCCCAAUAAAUAGAGUGGAUGAUCAGAGCUUGGGGAUGGCACCCUGGUCCCACUGUCUCUCUUAAUCUGUCUUUUUCUCAUUCCUUUGUCACCACCAAACUCGGGAUACCCAUGGGUGAUAUAGGGCAGGCUGUCUACAUUCUGGUGCCUAACAUGGGGCUCAUGGGUUCCUACAUUCUGGCCCCCACUGUGUGGGGCUCAUGGAUUCCCUACGAAUCCUAUUUGUCUAUUUUGGCUUUUGUUGCCAUUGCUUUUGGUGUUUUAGUCAUGAAGUCCUUGCCCAUGCCUAUGCACUUGUUACCCAGACUGGAAUGCAAUGGUGCGAUCUUGGCUCACCACAACCUCCGCCUCCUGGGUUCAAGCAAUUCUCCUGUCUCAGCCUCCCGAGUAGCUGGGACUACAGGUGCACACCACCAUGCCCAGCUAAUUUUUGUAUUUUUAGUAGAGACGGGGUUUCACCAUGCUGACCAGGAUGGUCUCAAUCUCUUGACCUCCUGAUCCACCCGCCUCGGCCUCCCAAAGUGCUGGGAUUAUAGGCAUGAUCCACUGUGCCCGGUCAGGUUUAAAUCUUUAAUCCAUCUGGAGUUAAUGUUUGUAUAAGGUGUAAGGACUUUUUUACUUCCUUGUAGUCAAAUUUUGGUAAUUUAUUCCUCAUAUAGGUGCUUACAGCUGUGUAUUUCAUGCUAAGCACUAUUUCAUGCUAUGCACUUACAGAUGCAUCUCGUAAGUUUUGUUGUUUUCUUUUUCUUCAUCUCUAGACAUUUUCUAAUUUCCUUUAUUAUUUCUUGUUUGACCUACUGUCCUUUGAGUUGUGUGUUGUUUAAUUUCUACAUAUCUGUGAAUUUCUCUGCUUUUCUUCUGUCAUUUUUUUUUAAAUUUUAUUUCAUUGUGAUUGGAGAACAUACUUUGUAUGAUGUUAGGUCUAUCAAAUUUUUUAUCAUGAGGUAUCUUUGAGUUUAUCCUCUCUGAAAUUUGUUGAGCUUUUGAUAUUUCUAAAAAAAUCAAAUUUUGGAAGUUUUUAACCAUUACCUUUUUAUUUCUGUUACUCUAAUUAUAUAAUCUCAAUUGAUCUAACUUGAAGUUUCCUAAUUCUUUUUCUGACUGUUCAACUCUGCUGUUUAGCCCAUCUAGUGAAUUUUUCAUUUCAGUUACUGUGGUUGUUCACUCCAUAUUUUCUAUUUGGUUCUUUUUUAAGAAAACAUUCUGUUUCUUUAAACUUUAAGUUCGGGGGUACAUGUACAGGUUUGCCACAUAGGUAAACUUGUUUCAUGGGGGGGUUGUUGUACAGAUUAUUUCAUCACCCAGGUAUUAAGCCUAGUACUGAUUAAUUAUUAUUCCUGAUCCAGUAUUUACUAUUUUGUGAGACACUGCCCUCAUACUUUCCUAUAGUUCUCCUGACAUGGUUUAUUUUAACUCUUUGACGUAACUCAUUUAGAAUAGCUGACUUAGACUUUGUCUAAUCAGUCCAAUUUCCUCAAGAACAGUUCUCUACUGACUGCUUUUCCCCCUUGGGGCCAUAUAUUCUUAUUUCUUUGCAUGAUUCAUCAUAUGUAUUUGAUGAAAACUGGACACCUUAAAUUAUGUGGCAGCUCUGGAAAUCAGAUUUGCCCCUUGCCCCAGGUUUUGUUAUUGUGAUUAUUUAGCAUUGUUUGAGUAAUAUUUCUGAGCUAAAUCUAUAAAGUCUGUAUUUUUUGUUGUAAUGAAGUUCUGGAUCAGUUCACUUAGUGGUCAGCAAACUAUUGGAGAGAUUUUCUUAAACAGUGGGAAGCAGAGUCUCCCAGUUUUUGCCAAGGGCGUCUGAAUAUGUGUCAGGCUCGCCUUUAACAUUCAGCCAGGCAGCAUGUUUGUAAAUUCCUUGGGAUUUUCUAUGUAAACAAUGACAUAAUCUUCAAAUAAAGACAGUUUUACUUUU
Callithrix jacchus (white-tufted-ear marmoset) is the source of this 7454-nucleotide long non-coding RNA. RefSeq lists it as uncharacterized. Lineage: Eukaryota; Metazoa; Chordata; Mammalia; Primates; Cebidae. The record is from RefSeq and is a predicted model, not a curated record.